This 250-nucleotide ribosomal RNA is filed under the name uncultured bacterium. RNAcentral describes it as "partial 16S ribosomal RNA". It matches the Rfam family "Bacterial small subunit ribosomal RNA", at positions 515 to 764 of the family's 1533-position model. The record is from RNAcentral.
CCGCGGUAAUACGGAGGGUGCAAGCGUUAUCCGGAAUCACUGGGUUUAAAGGGUGCGUAGGCGGUUGUAUAAGUCAGUGGUGAAAGGCCGUAGCUUAACUAUGGGAUUGCCAUUGAUACUGUAUGACUUGAAUGAGGUUGAGGUUGGCGGAAUGUGGCAUGUAGCGGUGAAAUGCUUAGAUAUGCCAUGGAACAUCGAUUGCGAAGGCAGCUGACUGGACCUGAAUUGACGCUGAGGCACGAAAGCGUGG